GACGAGAAGCUUGCUUCUCUGAUGUUAGCGGCGGACGGGUGAGUAACGCGUGGAUAACCUACCUAUAAGACUGGGAUAACUUCGGGAAACCGGAGCUAAUACCGGAUAAUAUUUUGAACCGCAUGGUUCAAAAGUGAAAGACGGUCUUGCUGUCACUUAUAGAUGGAUCCGCGCUGCAUUAGCUAGUUGGUAAGGUAACGGCUUACCAAGGCAACGAUGCAUAGCCGACCUGAGAGGGUGAUCGGCCACACUGGAACUGAGACACGGUCCAGACUCCUACGGGAGGCAGCAGUAGGGAAUCUUCCGCAAUGGGCGAAAGCCUGACGGAGCAACGCCGCGUGAGUGAUGAAGGUCUUCGGAUCGUAAAACUCUGUUAUUAGGGAAGAACAUAUGUGUAAGUAACUGUGCACAUCUUGACGGUACCUAAUCAGAAAGCCACGGCUAACUACGUGCCAGCAGCCGCGGUAAUACGUAGGUGGCAAGCGUUAUCCGGAAUUAUUGGGCGUAAAGCGCGCGUAGGCGGUUUUUUAAGUCUGAUGUGAAAGCCCACGGCUCAACCGUGGAGGGUCAUUGGAAACUGGAAAACUUGAGUGCAGAAGAGGAAAGUGGAAUUCCAUGUGUAGCGGUGAAAUGCGCAGAGAUAUGGAGGAACACCAGUGGCGAAGGCGACUUUCUGGUCUGUAACUGACGCUGAUGUGCGAAAGCGUGGGGAUCAAACAGGAUUAGAUACCCUGGUAGUCCACGCCGUAAACGACGAGUGCUAAGUGUUAGGGGGUUUCCGCCCCUUAGUGCUGC
Molecule: ribosomal RNA, 795 nt
Filed under: uncultured Staphylococcus sp.
Lineage: Bacteria; Bacillati; Bacillota; Bacilli; Caryophanales; Staphylococcaceae
Description: bacterial SSU rRNA
Rfam family: Bacterial small subunit ribosomal RNA
Source: RNAcentral